GAAGGAGUCGAAUUUCUGACAAGCUAUGGACAGCUUGUUCUCCUUUAUUUUCUCGGAUCCGAUGCACAUUCUUUCAAGAAUGUCCCACAUCUCCUUUGCAGUUUUGCACUUGAUGAUCUUGGUGACAUGCUUGUCUGGAACUGUGCCGGAGAUGAUACUUUUGGCGAGGUUAUCUAGCUCAUCUUGCUUCCUUUCUUCUGUGGUGAAGUUUGUCUUCUGCUUGAUCUGGAC
This 231-nucleotide long non-coding RNA is filed under the name Salvia miltiorrhiza (redroot sage). RNAcentral describes it as "long non-coding RNA (SMIL_LNC008700)". Lineage: Eukaryota; Viridiplantae; Streptophyta; Magnoliopsida; Lamiales; Lamiaceae. The record is from RNAcentral.